Molecule: long non-coding RNA, 420 nt
Filed under: Androctonus crassicauda
Lineage: Eukaryota; Metazoa; Arthropoda; Arachnida; Scorpiones; Buthidae
Source: RNAcentral
CAUUUCAAUACAUUUUGGACAAAUUGAACAAUGAAACACUAACAGUCAUUGAUGUGUGAAAGAAAUUUUCAAUUAUGGAUUGUAUCAAUCAAAUUGAAUUAGCACUAGCUGAAUUAAGACCAUAACUUUGAAUGCAUGUUGGAAAGCUGUUUGGCCAGAAUGUAUUAAAAACAAAAAUCCUGUCCUCCCUAAUAUGACGGAAUUUUCCAACAUCAUAACAUUGGCACAUAUAAUUGGCGGAGAAGGAUUCAAUGAUUUAUCGUUUGAAGAUAUUGAUGAAUUAUUAGUUGAUAAAGUCCUAAGCGAAGAUGAAAUAAUAGAGGCUGUCCUUGAGACUUCUGAUCUCAAAGAACAUAGUGAUAAAGACGAAGAAGAUCCUGUUUUAAAUGCAAAUUUAAUUAAAGAAGAUCUUGAACUGGC